GAGGAAACUCUGAUGCAGCGACGCCGCGUGAACGAUGAAGGCCUUCGGGUCGUAAAGUUCUGUCCUGGGGGACGAUAAUGACGGUACCCCAGGAGGAAGCCCCGGCUAACUACGUGCCAGCAGCCGCGGUAAUACGUAGGGGGCGAGCGUUGUCCGGAAUUAUUGGGCGUAAAGGGUUCGUAGGCGGUUUUUUAAGUCAGAUGUGAAAGGUCACGGCUCAACCGUGGUAAGCAUUUGAAACUGAAAGACUUGAGUUAAGGAGAGGAAAGUGGAAUUCCUAGUGUAGCGGUGAAAUGCGUAGAUAUUAGGAGGAAUACCAGUGGCGAAGGCGACUUUCUGGACUUAUACUGACGCUGAGGAACGAAAGCGUGGGGAGCAAACAGGAUUAGAUACCCUGGUAGUCCACGCCGUAAACGAUGAGUGCUAGGUGUUGGGGGUCAAACCUCGGUGCCGCAGCUAACGCAUUAAGCACUCCGCCUGGGGAGUAC
Molecule: ribosomal RNA, 488 nt
Filed under: uncultured bacterium
Lineage: Bacteria
Description: bacterial SSU rRNA
Rfam family: Bacterial small subunit ribosomal RNA
Source: RNAcentral